This 253-nucleotide ribosomal RNA is filed under the name uncultured bacterium. RNAcentral describes it as "partial 16S ribosomal RNA". It matches the Rfam family "Bacterial small subunit ribosomal RNA", at positions 524 to 776 of the family's 1533-position model. The record is from RNAcentral.
UACGUAGGGGGCGAGCGUUGUCCGGAUUUAUUGGGCGUAAAGAGCCCGUAGGCGGCUGUUCGAGUCGGGGGUGAAAGCCCGAGGCUCAACCUCGGAACUGCCUUCGAUACUGCGGGUCUCGAGUCCGGGAGAGGUGAGUGGAAUUCCUAGUGUAGAGGUGAAAUUCGUAGAUAUUAGGAAGAACACCAGUGGCGAAGGCGGCUCACUGGCCCGGUGCUGACGCUGAGGCGCGAAAGCGUGGGGAGCAAACAGG